GUAUACAAAUAUAUAUUUAAAUAUAGAGUAAUAUUAGUAGAUAACCAAAUAAAACAUACAAAUUAAGAAACUAGCAGAGAAAAAGUUUUUUGUUACAAAAUAACCAUGGACCCACGUUGUCGGAAGAAAGGAAAUAACAAAGCUACCCUUCAUUUGUUGUAAGAUGAACAGUAAACGAAACACAUCCGUGUAAUUUUUCAAAAUAGCAUGUAACAUUAAAAUUUCACAUGUUAUAUUUAGUUUAAAAACAUGCUAUUUAAAAAAACGUUAUGAAUUUUUAAGAAAAAACAUUAUUAUGAAAUUCUUUUACAUAAACAGAAUCUAAAAAAAAA
This 332-nucleotide small RNA is filed under the name Arabidopsis thaliana (thale cress). Its description in RNAcentral is "ATSL194780". Lineage: Eukaryota; Viridiplantae; Streptophyta; Magnoliopsida; Brassicales; Brassicaceae. The record is from RNAcentral.